This 301-nucleotide ribosomal RNA is filed under the name uncultured bacterium. RNAcentral's name for it is "partial 16S ribosomal RNA". It matches the Rfam family "Bacterial small subunit ribosomal RNA", at positions 509 to 807 of the family's 1533-position model. The record is from RNAcentral.
CAGUCGCCACGGUAAUACGUAGGUGGCAAGCGUUGUCCGGAAUUAUUGGGCGUAAAGGGCUCGCAGGCGGUUUCUUAAGUCUGAUGUGAAAGCCCCCGGCCCAACCGGGGAGGGUCAUUGGAAACUGGGAAACUUGAGUGCAGAAGAGGAGAGUGGAAUUCCACGUGUAGCGGUGAAAUGCGUAGAGAUGUGGAGGAACACCAGUGGCGAAGGCGACUCUCUGGUCUGUAACUGACGCUGAGGAGCGAAAGCGUGGGGAGCGGACAGGAUUAGAGACCCCGGUAGUCCCUGUCUCUUAUAC